UGGGGAAUAUUGCACAAUGGGCGAAAGCCUGAUGCAGCGACGCCGCGUGAGGGAUGACGGCCUUCGGGUUGUAAACCUCUUUCAGCAGGGAAGAAGCGAAAGUGACGGUACCUGCAGAAGAAGCGCCGGCUAACUACGUGCCAGCAGCCGCGGUAAUACGUAGGGCGCAAGCGUUGUCCGGAAUUAUUGGGCGUAAAGAGCUCGUAGGCGGUUAGUCGCGUCUGCUGUGAAAACUCGAGGCUCAACCUCGGGCUUGCAGUGGGUACGGGCUGACUANAGUGCGGUAGGGGGUGACUGGAAUUCCUGGUGUAGCGGUGGAAUGCGCAGAUAUCAGGAGGAACACCGAUGGCGAAGGCAGGUCACUGGGCCGCAACUGACGCUGAGGAGCGAAAGCAUGGGGAGCGAACAGGAUUAGAUAGCCCUGGUAGUCCAUGCCGUAAAACGUUGGGCACUAGGUGUGGGGUCCAUUCCACGGAUUCAGUGCCGCAGCAAACGCAUUAAGUGCCCCGCCUGGGG
RNAcentral lists this ribosomal RNA (516 nucleotides) under uncultured bacterium. RNAcentral's name for it is "partial 16S ribosomal RNA". It matches the Rfam family "Bacterial small subunit ribosomal RNA", at positions 355 to 878 of the family's 1533-position model. The record is from RNAcentral.